Molecule: long non-coding RNA, 496 nt
Organism: Homo sapiens (human)
Lineage: Eukaryota; Metazoa; Chordata; Mammalia; Primates; Hominidae
Exons: 2
Source: RefSeq, a predicted model, not a curated record
CAUGGAGAACAGCUUCUUUUCAUCCACCUAGUCCCAUUCCAUCUCCUUAGUGAACAUCUGCUGUAGGGACCUGCAGUCUCUGUUUAUGGCAAGGACUUUCUGAAUAUUGAAUCAUCUUUCACAUUCUACAGAAGUCACAGAAGCCAACACACAACUCCAGAGUUAAACAUAUUAAACCCCUGUCAUCAGAGAGAACUUUCAAAAAAUCUUGAGAUGGGACCCAUUGGCUCAGACUGAGUCAGAUGUCUACCCUUGGACCAAUCAACUGUGGUCUCUGUGAAUGUAGGCUACUAUUAUUGCCCUAUUUGAGUUUUCUUCCCACUCAUGAGCCAAUCAACUCUAGACAGAAAAGGGAAUGAUCUGAAGCUUGGAAGUUCUCACAGGAACCCUAUAAAUGAAGAAGAGGACAGGACAUGUUUUAAGACAAAGAAAAACGCUAUGCAACCAAAAUACAUCUACUACAAUAACAGUGAUUAUUAAAAAGUCAUUUAAUUUC